CAAAACCCAUCUGUCGUGUAUCCCCGAUUAAUGCAGCCUCAGAUGCUUCAAUUGUCGAUUCUAGAGUAUUGAGCGGGAGGUUACACCUAUGGGUUAGGUCUCCACCAAUAGAGGGCAUAGGGGAAGAAGCACUACUCCUAGGAAUCAACACACGAAAACUUUGUUAUAAAUUAUCCCUUUUCCUUAUCAGGAUCGGGACUAACAAGAAUGGUUGGGACAACAAACAUCCAUCUCGUUCGUGAGCUUGAUGGCAUCUAACUAUAACACUCAUAUUUUACAGAUAUAUUAAGGAGGCUUUUCAAAGUUAGAUUCUUCAGGAGUUAAUUGUCACAUCACAGUUUAACGUUAAUUUCGUGUGAACAUUAUAAAACAUUGUGCAAAAAACAUGAGGUAACAAAGAGUUGAUGAAAAAUCUCACUUUUCAGAGAGUUUCCUAAGCAUUUCUCUGUUUUACUAGGUAUUGAUAUACUAAAUUAACAAAUGAAUACUUAAGGAUACCAUCAAAUAUCACAAAUCGAAUCUAACACCAAGUUAAAUUAUUUUGAGUGGAUUACUAAACAUGUCAAGUUAGUAUUAAUCUUUGUUUAAUAAUCUUAAACAAGAUGCUCUGAUUUUUAAUUACAUGAAGAAAAAUGACUAAUAUUCUCCAUUUAUCCAUACACACGCAUUACGUGAGAAUAGAGGAUUUUUUUAAUAGUUUUCUAGAGUUAGGAUGAGUGUAUUUUAUUUGUUAGGAAUGUAAUGGGAGAUAGACGCUGGUGAUUUUCUAUGAUGCUUCAGAGUAUAAGAUGUUUUGAAUUUUAUAAAAUUACGGUAGAAUAUUUGUAGAUUUGGUUUAGAAACAAUAUCAUAUUUGGCUCAUAAGAUACAACACAAUGUAGAGGUCUACUAGUACAUACGGUAGAGUGUACUGGCUACUGUUUGAAGUAGAGGCCUACUCUGCAAUGCAGUAGCCAAUAUGGACAAUUGAUCAUCCAUCUAUUUAUGGAUCUCUUCCACCAAAUCCACACAAUCAAUAAAUAUGGGCCCUUGAAAUUUGAUCCAACGGCUACAAACAGGCGACCUCUUUAAAAGUUAUAAUAAUUUUAGCCGCUAGAUCAAAUUUCAAGGGCCCUAAUUUAAUGAUUGUGUGGAUUUGGUGGAAAAGAUCAUGAGAGGAUCUCUCCAUUUAUUUAUGAAGUUAAUUGGAAACAUGGCGACCUCUCAAAGCGUUUGCUGGUGUGAGGAUAACGUUGCAGGGAAGAACAAGAUCUUAGCCGUACACAUGCAAGUACCAAUGAGAUACGUAAAUCACGGAACAUCCAACACCGUAAAUGAUACGAGGUUGGGGAACGUGAAUGAACGAAGGCUGUAGCAGGCAGGUGCAUCUUCAUGCGGAGAGAGACUAAGGCCAUCUCCAAUCGAACGAUGGCUGAUGGACUAUGUUUAGCCCUAUAGCAUUGCAAGAAAUUAUAUUUAAAUGAACAGUGCCAUGCCAUAUUUUACACCAUCUCCAACCGAGGGUGCCAAAUGGCGAUAUGCCAAACAUAGCCCUUUGACAAAAAACUUAUCUCUAAUCGAGGGGGCCAAAGGGCCAUAGGAUGGGCCAUAGGCCAAACAUAAUUAAUAUAUAUUUUAUUAUUUUAAUUGAGUUAAUAUGGUUAAUUAAAUUAAACUACCAUAUUAAAAUAAGGUUUUCGGAUAUAUUUUGAGUAUCACUUGUAGCUAAAUGAAUAAGUCUCCGAAUUUUUUAUCUUUAUAUAAUCUCAAUCAUUUUUUGGAUAGGAUUUUGAGUGACAUGUAUCGUUAACGUGAGUAACUAUCCAAAUUUCUAUCUUUAUGUAAUCUCAAUAAUUUUUUGGAUAGAAUUUUGUUGAAGUUCAUUUCGAGUGCAAAUAUAAGGAUAAUAUAGUGACACAAGUAAGAGUGUCGAACCACAGGGAAUGAUAAACAACUUAGUAAAACCUUUGACUCUUACAUAUUAGCAUCAGUUAAUGACUCCUAUGAUUUAAAAUUGGGGGGAGGGGGGUUUAAGUAAUUUUGGAAAAGAAAUAAAGACAUAAAGAAAAGGGAAAAAUUAGAACUAUCUAAAAAUAAACCUAAUACAUGAAAUAAGUUAGAAACGUUUUUAGUACAUAAAUCUGACUUAAAAUGAGCUAAGGCCUUCCCCUAAACAUUCAUGAAUCAAUGAGAUGAUCUUUUAACUUAUCCAUUUCAAAUGCAUAACUAAGAUGUUCACAUAUCUAGCAUGGCAUAUAACUAGACUGUAUGAAUCCUCACUUUCCUUGCAUGUUAGAUGCAUGGCAUAUACAUCAAACUUAUAUUUG
This 2306-nucleotide long non-coding RNA is filed under the name Malus domestica (apple). RNAcentral's name for it is "long non-coding RNA (MDOM_LNC011978)". Lineage: Eukaryota; Viridiplantae; Streptophyta; Magnoliopsida; Rosales; Rosaceae. The record is from RNAcentral.